This 4038-nucleotide small RNA is filed under the name Pongo abelii (Sumatran orangutan). RNAcentral describes it as "retained intron". Lineage: Eukaryota; Metazoa; Chordata; Mammalia; Primates; Hominidae. The record is from RNAcentral.
CUGUCUCCAUCCCCUCCCUUGCUGGCCAGCCAGUUGAUAAACAUUGAAUUUGGAAGAUGCCUUGGGAUGGAGGAGGACCAGUGCCCAGGCCUGCAGCCCACCCUCCCGCUGGGAGGCCCCUGAGAGCACUGGGGUGCUGCUGCCCUGUUUCUGGGGAUGCUUGGCUUCCCUACCAGCCACCGUCUCCUGCCUUCCAUCAGCUCGGCUCUAGCCUCGGGGCCUCUCGGGGUGGUGUCCCCAGUGACGUGCCUGCCUGCCUGCCGUCAGAGAGCUGGCGGGGCUGAGGGAAGGAAGCCUGCCUCCCUGGCAGGCAAGCAGGCAGCAGGCACGGAAGCACCAGCUUUCAUGUCUCUGGCAGAGCCCCGCUCCGGCUGCCUGCUGCCUGGGGGGUGUCCAGGGGCCGGCCCCCUGCUUCCAAGAGGGACAGCGUGCGUGGGUGUGGGGGCUCGGGUAGCCCGGCAGCCCUCUGUGGCCCUGGCCCAGGAGAGCGCAGGUUUUCUGGGAGGGCUGGGAGGAGGCGGCCAGGAGUGAGGACUGGGAAUUGUGAGCAGUGUGGGGGCACCACUGUGGGGAACAAAGCCCCCAGCCCCUGCCUGAAACCUGCUUCCUGGCCCUGGGCGUCAGGGCUGGCACUGCCCUGGUGUCCUCGCACAGUCACCUCUGUGUGCGGUCCGCGUCCUCAUGUCAUGAGGAAGGUCACCCUGGGCUAAGCCCACCUUUGAUGUCACGGUCACCUCACUUAUCUCUUCAAAGGCCCUACUGUUUGGGCUUCCUUCCAUUGGCUUUGGGGGGGCAAGCCUGCCUCCUAACACCCUCCGUUUGUUGGAGCUCCCAGGCUGCCUCCGGGGACCCUCUGCCAGGACACAGGCCACCCUUGCUGCCUGGUUCCCCACUCCCCAAGCCACUCACCUGGCAGGGCAUGUCUGGCACUUCUGGCCUGAGUGCCUGCUGGGCGCCCGCCCCCAGCCAGUUCUGUCCUCCUUCCUUUCCACCCAGGACAGCCCCGUCCUGCACUGCCGUGUCGCCCACUGCCGGGGCCUCUCUGGGACCGACAGGCCCCCUUCCUUCCACACACCAGGCCCUACCCCACCUGGACCCUCUGAAAUGUUCCUUGUUGACAAAUGGUCUUGCAGAAGGCGGGGAUGGCUCCUGCAGCCCCCACUCCUGCUCUGUGGGUGGACGCCCCGUCUCUCCCUCCCAGGCGCCGUGGUGCCAUCUCCCUCCCGGGCACCGUGGUGCCAUCUCCCUCCCGGACACCAUGAUGCUGCCUCCCUCCCAGGCACUGUGGUGCCAUCUCGCUGCCCAGGCACUGUGGUGCCAUCUCCCUCCCGGGCCCGUGGUGCCAUCUCCCUCCCGGGCACCGUGGUGCCGCCUCCCUCCCGGACACCGUGAUGCCGCCUCCCUCCCGGACACCAUGAUGCUGCCUCCCUCCCAGGCGCCGUGGUGCCAUCUCCCUCCCGGGCGUCUUGAGCUGCAAGGGCUCCUCUCUUGGCUUCGUUCCCCGGAGGGUGGUGCCGUUCUCGUUGGAGGGGGCGGCCGGGCGUUGGGCCGCGUGUGCAUGCAGCCCCUACAGAGUUGCUGCUCCGUGGGGGUUGGCGUGGGCCUCCUUUCGGAAGCUCUUCCUGGCAACACUGAGUGGGGCAAGGGGUUGGCAGCAGAGAGGCGGCUGGAUUUGGGACCCCAGUGUCCUGGGAGGCAGCUAGGGAGGGGCCGGCUCCAGGCCCUCAGGCUGUGUCAGGGCAGGGCGGGCACCCCCACUUCUCCCUGUCAGCCGAGGGAGCCAGGCAGGGGCAGCCUGAGACCUCCUGGGACAGUCCUGGUGGGGAGAGGCCCCUCAGCCUGUGCCUCCCUCAAAGGCCCUUCCCGGGCCCUGCUGUGGCUGGGGGGACAGUGUGACCCACCUUCCCUUUCUAGGCCCAGCUUGGUGACCGGGGUGGCUCCAUUCACCCUGGGUCCCUUACUGAAAUGGUGCCUGGGAACCAGGGCAGAGAACACCCUUUCCAGCGGUGGGAGAUGGAGGUGACGUGGACUCUGGGAGGCUCCUUUUUUGGGGUCCAUCCAGAGGCCGAGCCUCUCCAAGCACUGGUCAGCCUCCAUGCCACCCAGUCUGCCGACCCUCCUCUCCACCAUCCCCUCGUCCGAGCAGUGGCGAUCCCUCCCGAGUCAAGGCUGGGCACAAGCACAUGGGGACAGGCCGGGUAGGCUGCGUGCCUCAGUGCUCCCUGCACAGAGGUGCAGACAGAGCCCAGGUGCCCCAGGCCCGGCUGCCAAGCCUACUUCCCUCUCCUAGUGUUCCCGAGUCCUGCCUGCCCCUUUCUGUGCGUCCCGUGAGGGAGUGCUGGUUGAGGGUCCUAGCCUGUGGGGGCUAUGAUGAAAACCAGGUGCCUCUCUGCAUCGGUGGCUUCUGAGGGAGCCCUCUUGCCCGGCAGCAGGUGGGAUGCAGAUGGGGCUGGCCAGGCCUCCUGUGCCCACAGCAGCCUCUGGGCAGUGUCUCCUGGGCUUCUGUGAGCAGCCGCAGCCUGGGUGUGAAUCUUGGAGGCCCGGUGGUGGCGGAGCAUGCUCUCCAUCUGGGAGAGGCCGAGACCACGGCGGCUCCUGGCGCUGUCCUUCCCGUGCCCCUUCCUGGCUCCCCAGUUUCCGGCGCCUCUCCAGGGCCACUCGGGCAGCCCCUGCCCACCCCACAGGCCCUUCUCUCCUCAUAAGGCUUUGAUCCCAGGCGGCACAAUUGGGUUUUCAAAGCAUUCACGGCCCUUGUUUGUGUCCCUGGGCCCCCGGCUGGAGGCUGAGGUUUCAGCGUUCCUGGGCCUGGCCUUUGAAGCUUCCUCUUAUUAAUCUUUUAACAUCCCCCAGCCCCACCCCCACCCCCAGCCUGUGGCCCCGAGCAGCCUGGAGCCGGGAGGGGGAAUCUGGAGCUGGGAGGGGGAUACCCCAGCCUGGCAGCUGCACCCCUCCACGGUGGUCCCGGCACAUCCGCCAGGACCCACCACGCCUGGCCCCACCUUCCUCGGGUGCAGAGGCCAGAGGAGGGAGGACUGUGAUGCUGCAUGGCUUGAGGACCCUCGAGGCCCCAGCGUUCAGCUGGCUUGGGGGUUGGGGUGGUCCCAUGGAGGGCGCUGGUCCCAGGAUGCCCUGGCCUUGCUUACAGGGGUAGGGUUGGUGUCAGACAGGAAGCUGGGUGAUGGGCUCAUGGGGGCCGGGCAGGCGGAGCCUGCCUGAGGGUGGAGCUGGGGCCUGGCCCUGGGGGGUGUGGCUGCCUCCACAGCAGGGGGGUGCUCUGCCCAUGGUGCCCACCCGGCCCCUGAGCCCCCCGCCCUCUCUGCAGGUGAACCUCUUCCCGACUGCUCUGGUGCACUUUGGAGCCGAGGAGCCGGCAGGUGAGUGUCGGUGGUUGGGGCCAGUGUUGGAGUCCAGCCAGCCUGUCCCUGGACCUCAGAGCCAGCUGCCCCGGAGGGCGUUCGGUCUGAGAGGGAGAUGUGUGGUGCCCAGUAGCCACCUCCCCGAGAGAGGACUGGGACAGCCACCUGCUGACCACCCCCCUCCCAGAGCUGAGUGCUGGUGGGCAGGUGCUGGGUGGAUGGUGAGUGGGCCCCUCCUCAGAGGCUGAGGGUGAGCUUGGGCCUCCCUGCAGGUGUCUACCUGGAGCCUGGCCUGCUGGAGCAUGCCAUCUCCCCAUCUGCGGCCGACGUGCUGGUGGCCAGGUAAGUGCCGGUGGGUCUGGGGGCACCUCCCGUGGCGGCACUCACCACUCUGUGUCUUCGCCUCCCCACAGGUACAUGUCCAGGGCUGCCAGGUCCCCUUCCCCAUUGCCAGCCCCUGACCCUGCACCUGAGUCUGAGCCAGCUGCUGAGGACGGGGCGCUGGUCCCCCCAGAGCCCAUCCCAGGGACGGCCCAGCCCGUGAAGAGGAGCCUGGGCAAGGUGCCCAAGUGGCUGAAGCUGCCUGCCAGCAAGAGGUGAGAGCUGCCAGCCCGAGGUGCCCACUCUGCCAGCCACAGGACCACCUCCCCUGCCAGCAGGAAUAAAGACUUGUGCAUCCCUC